Molecule: unclassified non-coding RNA, 149 nt
Filed under: fungal sp.
Lineage: Eukaryota; Fungi
Description: partial internal transcribed spacer region
Rfam family: Eukaryotic small subunit ribosomal RNA (bases 1-46)
Source: RNAcentral
AAGUCGUAACAAGGUUUCCGUAGGUGAACCUGCGGAAGGAUCAUUACAGCGAAAAGGAUACACUGAUUUGGCGUUGUGCAACCAACAGCUUACUCAAGUCAAAAAAAAAUUAAAUGGAAUAACUUCCAACAACGGAUCUCUUGGCUCUC